RNAcentral lists this transfer RNA (73 nucleotides) under Dipodomys ordii (Ord's kangaroo rat). It matches the Rfam family "tRNA". From Rfam's summary of the family: Transfer RNA (tRNA) molecules are approximately 80 nucleotides in length. Lineage: Eukaryota; Metazoa; Chordata; Mammalia; Rodentia; Heteromyidae. The record is from Rfam by way of RNAcentral.
GGAGGCAUGGCUCAGCAGUAAGAGCACCUGCCUCAGAAGUACAAGGCCCUGAGUUCCAAUCCCAGUGCCAGCC